UUCGCAUGAACAACGUUUCAAAGAUGGCCUCUGGCUAUCUCUUCUGGAUGGACCUGCGGUGCAUUAGCUUGUUGGUGGGGUAAUGGCCUACCAAGGCGAUGAUGCAUAGCCGAGUUGAGAGACUGAUCGGCCACAAUGGGACUGAGACACGGCCCAUACUCCUACGGGAGGCAGCAGUAGGGAAUCUUCCACAAUGGGCGCAAGCCUGAUGGAGCAACACCGCGUGAGUGAAGAAGGGUUUCGGCUCGUAAAGCUCUGUUGUUAAAGAAGAACAUGCGUGAGAGUAACUGUUCACGCAUUGACGGUAUUUAACCAGAAAGUCACGGCUAACUACGUGCCAGCAGCCGCGGUAAUACGUAGGUGGCAAGCGUUAUCCGGAUUUAUUGGGCGUAAAGAGAGUGCAGGCGGUUUACUAAGUCUGAUGUGAAAGCCUUCGGCUUAACCGGAGAAGGGCAUCGGAAACUGGCUAACUUGAGUGCAGAAGAGGGUAGUGGAACUCCAUGUGUAGCGGUGGAAUGCGUAGAUAUAUGGAAGAACACCAGUGGCGAAGGCGGCUACCUGGUCUGUAACUGACGCUGAGACUCGAAAGCAUGGGUAGCGAACAGGAUUAGAUACCCUGGUAGUCCAUGCCGUAAACGAUGAGUGCUAGGUGUUGGAGGGUUUCCGCCCUUCAGUGCCGGAGCUAACGCACUAAGCACUCCGCCUGGGGAGUACGACCGCAAGGUUGAAACUCAAAGGAAUUGACGGGGGCCCGCACAAGCGGUGGAGCAUGUGGUUUAAUUCGAAGCUACGCGAAGAACCUUACCAGGUCUUGACAUCUUGCGCCAACCCUAGAGAUAGGGCGUUUCCUUCGGGAACGCAAUGACAGGUGGUGCAUGGUCGUCGUCAGCUCGUGUCGUGAGAUGUUGGGUUAAGUCCCGCAACGAGCGCAACCCUUGUUACUAGUUGCCAGCAUUCAGUUGGGCACUCUAGUGAGACUGCCGGUGACAAACCGGAGGAAGGUGGGGACGACGUCAGAUCAUCAUGCCCCUUAUGACCUGGGCUACACACGUGCUACAAUGGACGGUACAACGAGUCGCGAACUCGCGAGGGCAAGCAAAUCUCUGAAAACCGUUCUCAGUUCGGACUGCAGGCUGCAACUCGCCUGCACGAAGUCGGAAUCGCUAGUAAUCGCGGAUCAGCAUGCCGCGGUGAAUACGUUCCCGGGCCUUGCACACACCGCCCGUCA
This 1228-nucleotide ribosomal RNA is filed under the name uncultured bacterium. RNAcentral's name for it is "bacterial SSU rRNA". It matches the Rfam family "Bacterial small subunit ribosomal RNA", at positions 185 to 1399 of the family's 1533-position model. The record is from RNAcentral.